UGCCCAGCAACUCCUAUCCCUACCUCCUCGCGGUACUGGCCGGAAACUAUGAGCAACCUUAGGGAAGAUCGGAUAACCAACCCCGGUGGGACUUUGGUCGUAGGCUGACAGGGAAGG
Non-coding RNA from Aedes albopictus (Asian tiger mosquito), 117 nucleotides. Lineage: Eukaryota; Metazoa; Arthropoda; Insecta; Diptera; Culicidae. The record is from Rfam.